AUACGUAGGUGGCGAGCGUUAUCCGGAUUUACUGGGCGUAAAGCGCGCGUAGGCGGCUAAUUAAGUCAAAUGUGAAAUCCCCGAGCUUAACUUGGGAAUUGCAUUCGAUACUGGUUAGCUAGAGUGUGGGAGAGGAUGGUAGAAUUCCAGGUGUAGCGGUGAAAUGCGUAGAGAUCUGGAGGAAUACCGAUGGCGAAGGCAGCCAUCUGGCCUAACACUGACGCUGAGGUGCGAAAGCAUGGGGAGUAAACAGGAUUAGAAACCCCAGUAGUCC
RNAcentral lists this ribosomal RNA (274 nucleotides) under uncultured bacterium. Its description in RNAcentral is "partial 16S ribosomal RNA". It matches the Rfam family "Bacterial small subunit ribosomal RNA", at positions 523 to 796 of the family's 1533-position model. The record is from RNAcentral.